RNAcentral lists this long non-coding RNA (384 nucleotides) under Mytilus galloprovincialis (Mediterranean mussel). Lineage: Eukaryota; Metazoa; Mollusca; Bivalvia; Mytilida; Mytilidae. The record is from RNAcentral.
CAAAUUUCCUGACACAAAGUCAUUGUAUAAAUUAUCAUAAAUAAAAAAAAAAACGGUUUUCUAAUGUGACAUAUCGCGAUUUGCGUUUUUGGACACAGCGUUCAACUCGUAUAAACCCGAAUAUUUCAUGCCCUUCUCGUAAACUAUCUCUAUUCUCGGUACAUGAUGUUGACAUCAUAGAGCUGCAGAAUAUGUCGACUUAAUCAUUUUCGUUUGAAUACUCGAAGCAAUACAAAACCAGGAAGUUUUGAAUGAAACGAACAUAUCGAUGUUUACCGGUAACGGACAUGAACAAAAUCCGGAAAUCGUAAUUUUUCCAAAAUAAAAAAAAUCGGGGCGGGACGAUUUCAGAGGGGCAGGCGGGGAUGAAAAUCUAUCAAUUAA